UCCCUUAAUUCCACAGGUCAUUUAUUCUUUUAAAAGCUCUGUGUUAUAAUUCAAAAUGGUGUC
RNAcentral lists this non-coding RNA (63 nucleotides) under Spumella elongata. The record is from RNAcentral. Lineage: Eukaryota; Chrysophyceae; Chromulinales; Chromulinaceae.